UACCAGCUCUCCGAGUUGUAGGGAUGAUUAUUGGGCUUAAAGCGUCCGUAGCUGGCUUAGCAAGUCUCUUGUUAAAUUCAGCGACCUAAUCGUUGAGCCGCGGGAGAUACUACUAGGCUAGGAGGCGGGAGAGGUCGACGGUACUUUCGGGGUAGGGGUGAAAUCCUAUAAUCCCGGGAGGACCACCAGUGGCGAAGGCUGUCGACUAGAACGCGCUCGACGGUGAGGGACGAAAGCUGGGGGAGCGAACCGGAUUAGAUACCCGGGUAGUCCCAGCUGUAAACUAUGCGGGCUAGGUGUUGGGGUGGCUACGGGCCACUUCAGUGCCGCAGGAAAGCCAUUAAGCCCGCCGCCUGGGGAGUACGGCCGCAAGGCUGAAACUUAAAGGAAUUGGCGGGGGAGCACCACAAGGCGUGAAGCUUGCGGUUC
Molecule: ribosomal RNA, 429 nt
Filed under: uncultured archaeon
Lineage: Archaea
Description: bacterial SSU rRNA
Rfam family: Archaeal small subunit ribosomal RNA
Source: RNAcentral